GUGUUUUUGCUUUUCCAUAGUCUGAGAGAGCUUGUGAAAGACCAGAGCAGGAACCCAUGCUACAGGAUACCCUUGUGAGGACAGAGAUGGCUUCCCCUCAUGGGCUACUAAUCUGCUCGAGGUGUUGCUCACUUUCUGCAACCAGAACAUCACGUGACCCUGUGUGCACGCUGAGGGUUUUCCACAUCAAAAGCUCUUCUCUCUCUUAUUGUAGGCAAACACUAGGUUCAAACUUUUUGUUCUAACUUAUUUUGCUCAGCUUCGAAUACCAUUCACUUCAAAGAAGUCAAUUUUACAUCAAAACUCCUUAGUGUCUUUGCAUUUCUAUUUUAGAUUCAUCUGUGGGUUUUUGCUCAAACUAUGUGACAAGAAAAGCUAGUCUGACCCAUAUGAGAGGCAGAAUCGAAAAACAUCUUAUAGUCUCUGAUGAUUAAAUUAAAGCCUUUGAUUAGGAACAAAUAUGCUAGUUGGUUUAAAAGAACCAAAAAAGUUGAGUUUAUACAUUUGAAAUUAACAUUUGUCUCAAAUCCUGUUGAUCUUCCAACCUUGUUUGUGCUAAAUAUGGAUCUAUCUUCAAGUUAAUGCAUAAUUUUAUACUCUGUGGACUUAAAUUAAAUUCCAAAUAGCUUCAAAAGCUAAAUCUAAUUGUAAAAAUGAAAAGAAGACACAUAUCAAAGAUUUAAUUUUUAAAGUUGAUAUCUUCAUAGCAUCUUAAACCCAUUUAAAACUGUUAGCUUAUUCCUUAUUUGACCUCUCAACAAUUAAAAAACUUGAUGUGCUGGAAGAGUUACAUUUGUGAGAGAAAAGUUAUGCACUGCUAAGUUUCCCCAUCCAGAAUACUUUAAAAAUGUUCUGUAAUUUAUUAUACUCACACUUUAUUCCACAGUGUACCAUUUAUUCUUAUGAAAUGCAAAAUGAAUACAUAAAUACUUUAAAUUGUAAUCUUCAGAAAACAACAAUUAUAGCUGAACUAAAACUUAAUUAUAAGUAUUACUCAUAGUGGCUUGUGGUGUGGGCAUUUCCAAUAUUAACUAUUUUUCAUUAGCCUGUAGUAUGGAAUAUUUGAACAGAACUAUCCUCAGUUGAAUUUUUUUCCCUUAAAUAUAUGCUGAAAUUCUUAUCCCAAGCACCUCAGAAUGUGCAAUUCUUUGGAAAUAAAGUAAUUGCAGAUAUAAUUAUGUAAAAUAAUCCCGGAAUAGAGUGUGUGCCUAAUGCACUGUGAUGGAUGUCCUCAGAUUGUAAUGUGGAUACACACACACACACACAUUCUCUCUCACACACACACAGACACACACACAUAUACACACACAAAAUCGUAUUAAUAUGGAGAAAUGCAUAUUAAGUGAAGGAAUGAAAAAUAUUCUAAGCAAUCCACCAGGAACUAGGAAGAGAAGGGUAUUCCCCUGGAUGGCUUGGAGACAGCACAACAUUGCAAUACAUUAAUUUUAGACUCUUGUUCUGCAGAAUAAGGCAACAAUAAAGUUCAGUUGUUUCAAGCUACUCAAAUUGUGGCAUUUCAUUAUAGCACCUCUAGAAAUCUGUAAUGACCACAAAAUAUUAGUGAACUUUUAAUUUAAUACUCUGUAUUCCCAUGUCCCUUGUCACAAUUUAUGUUAAUAUUUUCCAUUCUCUCCUGAAAAGAAUGUGUUCUUGAUCAGAGUAAAGAUUGAUUUUAUUCCUCAUAAUUAAUAAAUAAAGGAUCCCAAAUAUUUAUCCAGUAACUAUUUAAAUAGCUGCAUGGUAUUUCAAGCCUCAACAAUGGACAGUAUACAUAAUAUCAUUUUCAAAACUAUUAAUUUCUGAGCAGAAAUUUAGGAAGAUAAAGAACAGUCAAUGGGAAUAUUUAUUUCACAUAUAGGCCACAUUGGCAAACCAUCAGCAGUUACUUAAAUGUGUCAGCGUUCCUACCUGGUGUUGACAUGAGUAAGAGGAUCAGAGUAAAAAGAUUUAGGUAAUGUUGAAUAAAUUCAUGGUCUUAGUCAUUGGUAUUGUAUAAUCCAUAGGAGAAGAGUAAGGAGAAUGGAUUUUUAAAAGAUAUCUAUAUAGCAUGGCUAUACAUGUAAAUGUGUCUAUGAGGUACUAAACAGAGAUUUAAAUGUUUAUUCUAACAUGUAAUCUAUGUCUUAUGUUUUCCUUUCUUGUUAACAUAAAUGGAGAAAGAAAUUACCCAAACUAGGAUAUUAGAAUUUUAGGACAAUUUCUAAAUGAUAUGGAAUAACUAAACCAAGAUAAAGAACU
Molecule: long non-coding RNA, 2238 nt
Filed under: Marmota monax (woodchuck)
Lineage: Eukaryota; Metazoa; Chordata; Mammalia; Rodentia; Sciuridae
Source: RNAcentral